AUUGAACGCUGGCGGCAUGCCUUACACAUGCAAGUCGAACGGCAGCAUGGGUGCUUGCACCUGAUGGCGAGUGGCGAACGGGUGAGUAAUGCAUCGGAACGUACCUUUCAGUGGGGGAUAACGUAGCGAAAGUUACGCUAAUACCGCAUAUUCUGUGAGCAGGAAAGCAGGGGAUCUUCGGACCUUGCGCUGAUGGAGCGGCCGAUGUCAGAUUAGCUAGUUGGUGGGGUAAAGGCCUACCAAGGCGACGAUCUGUAGCGGGUCUGAGAGGAUGAUCCGCCACACUGGGACUGGGAAACGGCCCAGACUCCUACGGGAGGCAGCAGUGGGGAAUUUUGGACAAUAGGGGCAACCCUGAUCCAGCCAUGCCGCGUGAGUGAAGAAGGCCUUCGGGUUGUAAAGCUCUUUCGGACGGGAAGAAAUCGUGGUGGCUAAUAUCUGCCAUGGAUGACGGUACCGUAAUAAGAAGCACCGGCUAACUACGUGCCAGCAGCCGCCGUAA
Molecule: ribosomal RNA, 502 nt
Filed under: uncultured bacterium
Lineage: Bacteria
Description: partial 16S ribosomal RNA
Rfam family: Bacterial small subunit ribosomal RNA
Source: RNAcentral